GCUGUUUCAAAUAUAUCAUGGUCUAGUUAUAGAGAUCGAAGAAAAAAAUUUACUUGACUCCUAAAUUUAAUUUGAUCUUGUUAAGUUAAAUAAAUGAAUAACUGAAACGAUCUGAAUUAUAUAAUUGUCAUAGAUGGCAGCUAAGCUUCAUGUAUUCUAGAAUGUGGGCACUCGUCUUCAAUUGGCUGCAGCAAGUUAUUAUGCAGCAAUGUGCUUUAGUUUUUUCUCUCUUGUUCUUGGUCUUUCUUCGUCCAUAUAAGCUGAUCAGUUAUCAUAUACCAGGAGAGAAGAACGUCGCUCUGAUUUAACAAUGAGGUAUGUUUUGAGUCGGAUAUUUUAUUAUCUUCUGUAGAGCCUUCAAUAAAUCUGCUUUUUUUGCAGGCAUAAUUCAAAGCAAAUCUCCUUGUCCAGAGACAGGCGAGCUUGGUUUUGCUAAUUCACAAACUUUGUGCAACAUAACUUGACAUGCAAAGAGGUAGUCUAAUUUGUUCAUGCAAGGAUUUUGCAAGAUACAACCAUCUCUGGUAUGAUUCCUAAACUGUAAUAUUUUUAUCUGAAAAAGCUAAUUUUAUAUGUUGCUUUUAUUGUUUCUUUAUUAAUUUGUUAUGGUUAUUUGUAGAACAGGUUGGACCCUGAAAAUUCAAAAGGUGUACCUAGUCAGAAGGUAAAGUGUAUUGGGAAUCCCUUCGACAAUUCGCUGGCUUAAAUUGGCCACCUCCACUUAUUUUUAUUUUUUUUUCAUUGCACCUCCUUAACUUCAAUUUUUUGAAAUUACAUGAUUUUAUUUAAUUAAAAUUAUGAAUUUUAUCAAAUUAAUUAUUUAUUUCAUCAAAUUUAAUGGUUUGAUUAAUUUUUAGCGAAUGAAGUAAAUAUUUAACGUUUAAUAUUUUAACGGAAUUAUUAAAUUUUUAAAAAGUAAACUAUCUAGAAUAACUUGAAUAAAAAAAUUAUAAGUUGUGGAGGUGUUUAUUUGUUAUGGCCCAUUGUUCUUUUUUGGUGCGGUUCGACUCAUUAAUUUCGAACGUUAAGCUAUAUAGUACCGUCUUUGCUUUUAAGCUAUUGCCACUUUAUCCAUUCCCAUCAGUUCUCUUCUAGAUCUUAUUAUAAAAUGCAAUAAAAAUUUUCGUUGAUGUCUGGAAAUACUAAAAUUGCCCUUCUUCGAAAGGUAAAGGAAUGGGAUAAAACCAGGGAGUUUCUGUAUUAGUAUUUCAUUCAAAAUUUCAUUUUAUGUUCCAAAAGAUCGCUGAUAAGGAACUAACAUGAGGAGGUAAAGUAAUAACGAUUUAAAACAAUCAAAGGGUAAUGUUUAGGUUUUUAAAGUUCAGCAUGGCGAAGAAAUAACAACUAUUUAGUCAGAAGAGUCUUCUGCAUUUUAAUUCUCCUUUUUUCUAAAAAGAAAUUAAUUAGCUGUAUGUAUUAGACGAGAAUUAAAGUCUGUCUUUUUGUUUUUAUUUGAGACUGAAAUUUCAUCCUCUUUUGAGUGCUGUUGCCUGGAGAUUUCUUAACUGCACCAUAUCACGUGGAGAUCAUUUUUGGCAUGAGAAGAUACAAAGAGGAAACCUCGCAUUUACGACUACGUAGGCACUCAUUUUCACUUGGCCACAGCAAGGUAUAAUGCAGCAAACACUCCUUUUUGCCCUUGGUCCUUAGUCACCUAUUUAAACUGAUCUAUUAUGAUAUGCCGGGAGAGAUCUGAUUAUGUUUAAAAAUGAUGUGUGUUUUGAAAUUUGAAUCAUAUGUUCGUCAACAGUCAGCUAACUGUUUACUCUAAUCAAAAAAUCUUUUCAAUAAAUUGCAUUUUUUGUAAGCAUACUUCAAAUAGAUCUCCUUGUCCAACUUGAAGUAGAAUUCGGACCUAAUUUUUCCUAAUUUAAAAACUUUGUGUACCCUAAUUACGAGAAACCAAAGAACACACUUACAUGCAAAGAGAUAGUGGAACUUGAUCAUGCAAGGAUCUUGCAAUACAAUAGAAAACCCAAGGAUCCCUGGAAACUAGACCCUACGGUACUAACUUCGAAAUGCUCCUAAUCUUCAACUAAACUAGGAUCCAAAUAAAUCCCUUUCCAUUGUAUAGAAUUUUGAUCUCUCUAAUUCUCUCCCUCCAAUGUGAUGAAGGAUCAGAUACCUCUUCGCAUUCCCUCCAUUGAAUCCCUCGAUUUGAGCAAGACUGAUCUGCAUCUUGACCUCUAGUAGCACAAACCGCUGAUCUAUUAAAAAUCGAGUACGUUUGUGAUCUAAAGAAAAGCUGAUCGCUCAUGAUGUCUUUGACUGCGAGUCACUAUAUAUAUAUUGCAAUGCGUUUUCGGAUCCUGGUGAUUCUGCUGUGGUCUGAUUUUGUUCCUGCUUUGUUCAUGUUUCACAUGAACUUUUAUGUUUGAGAUGAAAGAUAGUUCGAGGAAUUUGCCGAGUUUGCAUCUGUGAGAAGAAGGAUUUAGGUUGCUCUCUUAUUCCAACUAACUAACUAUUUUUUUUUAAAAAAAUAAACAAUUUCAUAUAAUGCUGUAAUUUUUUCUUUCUUAGUACUUCUUACAGUUCUUAGCCUGAAUUACUGCAGAGGUAGGCUAAAUUUGGAUAAAUGAACGAGUAAGAGAAAGGGUGUUUUAGCAAUCGCAAAACUAGGUUGAUACUUUUCAUCUGAUUGUUGUCUAUUUGGUGUUGUUGAUUUCAGGAAAGUGCCAAUUAAAAAUCCCGAGGAAAUAGGUAGAGAGGCUUCAUUCUAGUCCGAAUCUAUAUGUAAUUCUGGUGAAAAUUUAUUCUUAUGCUUAACUCCUUGUAGCCAGCAGAGACAAGGAGCGGAUUGUAUGGAUUUCGCCGGUUAGGGUGACCAACAAUCUGGAAAUUCUUGUUUUUAAUGGACUUUACCAUUAUUGGGACUCUAUAAUCUGAUGCUGGUAGAAAAUUUACUAGUUACUUUGUUGUGUUUAAUUACUCUGAAGAUUAUCUGAUUUAUGUGGCUUUUAUGCUCGGUGUAGCGUUGAUGAUACGUAGUAUUACAGGGGAAAGUAACAUAGUGAGUUCUCCGUGCAGGUGACAAAUGUAUUGGAGUUUGAUGGUGCUGUGCAGGUCUAUUGAUGCUGCUUUCAACUGUCUCAGAUGUUUAGUGAAUAUGUUUCUUCAGGCAAAUAGAAGAAUUCUCUUUCCAGGUGCGCUGUGCAAAUUAUUUGAGUUUAUAGUGCGCCUCGUUAGUUCUAUUGAAAGCUGCUUUCAACAUUCUUAGAAAAUUCAUUUUUUGGUAAGAAACUUAAUAAAAAAAAAGAGUAUGAAUUCAGAAUCCAUAACUUUCUUUUACAUUUGAAUGUUAGGAUCAAAAUGUAAUAUUAUAACUUAUCUGAUAUCAGUCGAUAUUUGCAUUCUUGCUGUUAGUUUGGAAACUCUUCAGGAUUCCAAUUGUUGGGGACUAAACUUCAAUUGAGUUGUCUAGCUGGUUUAGUCUUUUAGUUUUGUAUUGUCGCUUGUUGAUGUGAUGGAUUUGUUCAAGAAUCAAAAUAUCUUGUUGGAUUUCGUGCAAAACUGUUGGGUUGUUUUGUCUUAUGUGAAUUGUUUGAUGAUUCUUUUUGCUUUUCUGUUUUUCUUUUCUUACUUUAGUUUAUAGCUGGAACUUCUUAUUUGGCUUCCAUAGAGAAUAUUUUAUUGUUGCAAUGAAGGUUCUAUUUCACGCUCGAGUGGUUGCCACAUUGCAUUGAAUUUUUAUUUGGAAAAUGCUAAUUAAAUGAGGUAGCAGUCCUACCACUUUUCUCAAAAAAAAGGGAAAGGAAAGAAAAUGUAUUUGAAAAUUGCAAUCCCAGUCCAAAUACUUCAGCGAUGAUAGCAAAAACUGGUCCUGUUUGUCCAAUUUAAACUACACUUCAUUUUGUGUGAAGCAUAUGGUGUGGAAUCAAUGAAGAUUGGAAAGGAGGUCGAGCAAGUCUAAUACAUAAACAGUAAAUUUGUUGAAGAUACGAUUAAAUUUUCUCUCUCUUUGGCUUUCUCCAGAACAAAUUAUCUGAUAGAUUUCAUGUAUUCUUCUUGCUAUCAUUGAUCCCUCUUAUGGUUUUUCUGGCAAGGUGGCGAUGCAUUUUUUUCUGCUUUUAACAAUCCAUGCUUACUUCAUCUUUUAUUCUAGCACUCGUAUGGCUGAGCUUUGCUUUAAAUAUUUUGAUAUUUGAAACAACUUGGCUAAUUGGUAUCUCUGUCUUUCAAGUUUCAACUUACUAUUAAAUUUGCUUCAGUAUUCAGCAUCAUAUAUUUUACUUGAUGACAAUGAAACAGUCUGUUGUAAUAUAUGUUGAUUUUGUUAUCCUCUAUUACUUUAAUGUAGUGCGUGUAUAACACAAUAGUUGUCUGAUUUAAACUUCUUCACUUUCAGUCAUUUCAUGUCAUUUCUUCUUAACUGCAAGCGUGCAUAAGAACUUAAUGCUACUUGCUGGAUAGAUACCUGAAAUUUGUGAGAAAAUCAUUGUAAGCUUCUUGCGAAUUUGACUAGGUUUACAAAGGAUUUUAUCCAUUCUGUUGUUAGGAGCGUGGCUAGGUUUACAGAGUAUUUUUAUGUGAAUUUCAAUCUGGUGAUUCUUUUCUUCUGUCUUUUUUUUGUUUUUCUCUCUCAACUUUAUUUAAUAAUUUGUUUUUAGUAGACUUUUGUAUUUUUGAUUGUCAUGUAAGGUAGCCAGGGAUGGUUCUUAAAGAGAGAUUAAAAAAGGGUAAUUUCUUUGAUUUGUUACAUGAUAUCAGAAUCUGAGUGAUUGGUAAGUAUCUUCGGUAUGAUAGGAACAAAUUUCUCUUGCAGGUGCUUUAUCGAAAGUGCGCUGCUUCAAUCUCGUCAGAUAAGACAAAGUAUGCCUCUAUAACUUUUCCUGUGCAUAUAUUCCUUUACAAACCGAAUUCAUAAAUUAAUACGUAACUGCGAUAUUUUCUUUGUAUAUCAGCCAAAAUUUUCAGUAUCUGGGUUAUAGUUGAAAAAGAAGCUUGGAUUGCAUGAGCAAGUUAUAGCCUUUUGUUUAGAAGCCCCCACAUAAACUGUUAACGAGUAAGUAGUUGGAGUUCAGUUUUGUAAUGAAUAUUUAGCAACAAAGUAUUUGUUUCCUUCUAAAUUUUUUUUAAAAUUUUUUUUUAAAAAAAACUAUACUCCAGGCACGAGACGAAUUCUGGAGUGGUAAGUUUAAACUGAGAGGAUAAUAUCUUUGGAGCAGUCAUAAAAUGGCUCAACGAUGAUUUAUUUGUCAAGCAUGACAAGUAGUUCCGACUAGAGCCUCGAUUACGACUACCCAAUAUUUCUUGCUUUUGCAAAUGAAGAGCACCACUCUACCUUGAUGUUAGUGGCAUAAUGUGACUUUCUAAGUUGGUAAUCAUGCUUUCAAGUUAAUGCUUUGUAGAGUGAGUGAGAAUUGAAGCUUUUAUAAAAACAAAGAAUCUGUCAUUCAUUAAAUGUAUAGAGGUACGCAGUGCAAAUCCAUGACCUUGUGCCUGAUUUCUUGUUUUUUUUUUAUGGAAGUUCCUUUUUUUUUCUUGCGCCUGAUUUCUUGUUUUUUUUAGGGAAAUUCCUUUUUUUUUCUUGAAACAGGCAAAAUUCAAAACAAAUCUUGUCCAGUUUGAAAUGAAGUUUGAGCCUGUUUUUACUAAUUUAUGAAACUUGUGCACAACAAGUCAUUAAAAAACUAAUUUUCUUUUUCUUUUUCUUCUUUUUUUUUGAAAGGUUUGAUUAACUGUUUUAUCUAAAAGUGGGCAUAAUCCAAAACAAAUCUUCUUGUCCAGUUGAAACGGAAUUCAGACCUGUUUUUGCAAGCAUUCAAAGAAAGAACUUUUGCAUUCAAGGGGAAAGUUGAACUUUUUCAUGCAAAGAUCUCUCGUAUGAUUCCUUAACUGUGUAUAUUUUUCUUCUUAAACUGUAUUAUGUCACUAAGCUGUAAUGUUACUAGCUUAAAAAAAAAAAAAAAAAAUAGAGCUUCAUAUGUUGCAUUUAUUCUCUCUUUACAUAAUUGGUCAUUUGAUGGUAACAGGUCGGACUCCGAUUGCGCUAUAACAUAACGGAAGGCUUUUAGAUUUGGUCGUAGAGCCAGCUCUCAAACUCAUGGAGCAAGUUAGGGGUGUGAAACUGCUAAACAGAGUAACCGAAUCAAACCAAUGGUUAGGUCUGGUUUAGAUUUUCUUUAUCAUUUUGAAGAAAAAAAAAACUGGUUGGGUUUUGGGUCAAUAUGGUAGGAACUAGGAACUGCAUUAUUUUGAUUCAUUAUUUUGAUUAACUUUCAGUUCUGAUCAUGAGAAACGGCUUAAAACAAACCAGCCGGUUAUAGUAUGUCAUUUUUUUAAACCAAACCGGCCUUAGUCCCAGUGGUUUGAUCUUAGCUCAUUGUACUUGACACUGGAAGGUUAACGUGCACAUUACCACGUGAUGAAGCACAGGAUAGCAUGAAGGCAAUGGACGAGGGCUACAUAAUUGUUUUGCCCUCCAUGCGCCAUUCCAAUCCAAAUCGGGACCAAUUGCUCUUCUCCUUCUCUCCUCCUCUCUUCCACUUGUCGGUGACUCCAAAACCAACGGAGUCGAAGUGCAAACUAAACCCUAAGGUACUAACUCGAAUGCUCUUAAUCUUCGAAGGAUUAAAUAAAUCCCUUUUCCAUUGUAAGAAUUUGAUCUCUCUAUCUCUCCCUCCAAUGUGAUGAAGGAUCAGAUACCUCUUCCAUUCCCUCCAUCGAAUCCUCGAUUUGAAGCCAAGACUGAUCUCGAUCUUGACCUCUCUUGUCGAUUUGAGAUCACCGGAUCCCUGAUCUAUUAAAGUCUGAGUACGUUUUGAUCUAAAGAAAGCGAGAUGAUUCUUUGAGGCGAACUAUAUAUCUUGCAAUGCUUGAUCGUGAUUCUGCUGUGUUUGAUUUUGUUACUGCUUUUAUUCAUGAUUCAUGAACUUUCUGUUUGGAAAAGAUUGAGGAAUUUGUCGAGUUUUUGCAUCCGGAGAAGAAGGAUUUAGGUGCUCCUAUUCCAACUAACAUAUCUGAUCUGAUUUUUUAAAAAAAAAAAAAAAUUGAAACAACUUUCUUUAAUGCUCGUAAUUUUACUUUCUGGUACUUCUUUACAGUUCUAGCUGAAUUUACCUGCAGGUAGCUAAUUGAUAAGUGAACGAGAAGAAAAGGGUUUAGGUGUAAUCGAAGUUCUAGAACUAGGUGACUCUUUUCAUCUGAUGUGCUAUUUGUGUUUGUGAAUUUCAGGAAAGCCAAUAAAAAAGUUUCCAGUUUCAAAUAGUUUAGAGAGAGCUCUCUAGUCCAAAAUCUAUAUGAAUUCUGUGAAUGAUUCUAUCUUAACAUCACUUGUAGCCACACAGGACAAGGGAAAUUUAUGUAUUGUUCCCUUAGUGACCAACAAUUGGAAAUUUGUUUAAUGAUUUACUUGUAUGGGCUCUCUAACCUCAUCAUGAGUUUGAGGCAAAACAUUUUGCUUCUACUAGUUGAUUGGCUUUGUUGUGUUUAAUUACUCUGAAGAUUAUUUGAUUUUUUGUGCUUCUUAUGCUGGUGCUAGUGUGAUGAUAGUGUUAUUACAGGGAAAUAAAAUAUAUUCUCCGUCCAGGUGCACAAAUUAUUGAGUUUAUGGUGCCUCGUGAGUCUCUUGGAAUGCUGCUUCUCAACGUUCUCAGAUUUUAGUGGAAUAUUCUUCUUCCAGGUGUGCAAAUAAAGUAAAUUAUUCUUCCAGCUGUGCAAAUUAUUGAGUUUAUAGUGCCUCGUGAGUCUAUUGAAAUGCUGCUUCUCGACAUUCUCAGAUUUUUGUAGAAUACAUAAACUUUAAUUCAAAAAAAAAGAGUAUGGAAUCAGAAUCCAUAACUUUCUUUACAUUUGAAGUUAUUGGAUCAAAAUUGCCAAAUAUUAUAACUUAUCUGAAUAUCAUCGAAUAUUUACAUUCUGCUGUUGGCUUUUGAACUCUUCAGGCAUCCAAUUGUGGGACUCAAACUUCAAUUGGUUGUCUAGCUGUUUAAUCUAGAUUUGUAUUUCGCUUUUGAUGUGAUGGAUUUGUUCAAAAUCCAAAUAUCUUGUUGGAUUUCAUGCAAAACUGUUGGAUUUUUUUUUGUCUUUUGAAUUGUUUUGAUUGAUUCUUUUUGCUUUUCUGUUUUUCUUUUCUUACUUUAGUUUAUAGCGGGGAACUUCUUAUUUGGUUCCAUAGAGAAUAUUUUAUUGUUGCAAUGAUAGGUCUUCUAUUUCACUGCAUAGUCUUGAUGGUUGCACCAUUGCAUUGAAAUUGUAUUUGGAAAAUGCUAAUUAAAUGAAGUGGUAGCAGCCUACCAUUUUCUCAAAAAUAAAGAAAGGAAAGAAAAUGUAUUUGGAAAAUGUGAAGUGCCAAAACCUUGCAGCGAGAGAGCAAAAACUGGUCCUUUUGCCAAUUUAAACUACAUUAUUAUGUGUGAAGCAUAGUGAACAAUGAGAUUGGAAAGGAGUCAGCCAUGUUUAAUACAUAACAGGGCAAGGUAGUUGAAGAUACAAUUAGAUUUUCUCUCUGUUUGCUUUCUCCAGAACAAAUUAUCUUGAUAGAUUUUCCAUGUAUUCUUCUUGCUAUCAUUGCUACUGCCUUGUUUUAUGUGUUUUCUGGCAAAGUGGGAUACAUUUCUUUCCUUAAAGUUUUUAUUAGAUGAUAAUGUAGUUCUUUUAUAGUUGAUCAAUUCACAAAAUCAGUAGAGCAAGCCAUAUGAAUCUUAAACGAGAUGAGCAUAAUAAUGUAAGAGAAAUAAAUGCUCUAGAAACUAGUAAGCAUUCAUCUGAAUUACAUCAUUUUGUCUUUUGUUUAGUUUAUUCUCGAAUUUAGGUGCUUGAAAAAAAUACUGUUUUGGUUGAAAGUUGUUAAAAUAGACUCUACACAGGAGAAGUUUAACUGUAAGUCGGAGUUUUCCCACAGUUUUGUUUAUCUCUUUGUUAAAUUAGGCCCCUAGAUUCUGCACAAUAUUCCAAAUCUUUUAAACUAAAAAUUUUUGUUGGAGAGAUCCAUGUGGCUGUUUCAAAUAUAUCAUGAUCUGGUCAUAGAGAUCGAAGACAAAAAUUUACUUAACAAGAUCAAAUUAAAUAAAUUUAGGAGUCAAGUUAAAUAAAUGAAUAACCGAAACGAUCUGAAUUAUAUAAUUGUCAUAAAUGGCAACUAAGCUUCAUGUAUUCUAGAAUGUCGGCACUCGUCUUCAAUUGGCUACAGCAAGUUAUUAUGUAGCAAUAUGCUUUACUUUUUUCUCUCUUGCUGUGGGUCUUUAUUCGUCCAUGUAAGCUGAUUUGUUAUCAUAUACCAGGAGAGAAGAACAUCUCUCUGAUUUAACAAUGAGGUAUGUUUUGAGUCAGAUAUUUUAUUAUCAUAUGUAGAGCCUUCAAUAAAUACUGCUUUUUUUCAGACAUAAUUGGAAGGACUGAGAUUUUGGCAGUAUAGCUAAACUUUCUGUUGACGAUGUUUUUAUGUGUAAUUUAAUUACAUAAGCACUCGUCAAGUUUCAAGAAAAAACGAGUUAGAAUGGAGAAGUUACGCGAUCAAUACUAAUCACUUAAAGUGAAUAGUAACUCUGAUUUUUCGAAGAGGCUGAUGAGUAGAGUUGGCUUUUGGCACGUAUCGGACUUCAUUCAUAGCGAUCCAAUAGCUCGUUUUGAACGGUUCGGCUAUUCUAGAACCAAUGGCGCUGACGGAUUUUAUAUUUGA
Molecule: long non-coding RNA, 9619 nt
Filed under: Ananas comosus (pineapple)
Lineage: Eukaryota; Viridiplantae; Streptophyta; Magnoliopsida; Poales; Bromeliaceae
Description: long non-coding RNA (ACOM_LNC007704)
Source: RNAcentral